Molecule: ribosomal RNA, 492 nt
Filed under: uncultured bacterium
Lineage: Bacteria
Description: partial 16S ribosomal RNA
Rfam family: Bacterial small subunit ribosomal RNA
Source: RNAcentral
AGUGAACGCUGGCGGUAGGCCUAACACAUGCAAGUCGAACGGCAGCACAGUAAGAGCUUGCUCUUACGGGUGGCGAGUGGCGGACGGGUGAGGAAUACAUCGGAAUCUACUUUUUCGUGGGGGAUAACGUAGGGAAACUUACGCUAAUACCGCAUACGACCUACGGGUGAAAGCAGGGGAUCUUCGGACCUUGCGCGAUUGAAUGAGCCGAUGUCGGACUAGCUAGUUGGCGGGGUAAAGGCCCACCAAGGCGACGAUCCGUAGCCGGUCUGAGAGGAUGAUCGGCCACACUGGAACUGAGACACGGUCCAGACUCCUACGGGAGGCAGCAGUGGGGAAUAUUGGGCAAUGGGCGCAAGCCUGAUCCAGCCAUACCGCGUGGGUGAAGAAGGCCUUCGGGUUGUAAAGCCCUUUUGUUGGGAAAGAAAAGCAGCAGGUUAAUACCCCGCUGUUCUGACGGUACCCAAAGAAUAAGCACCGGCUAACUUCGUG